RNAcentral lists this unclassified non-coding RNA (433 nucleotides) under Hevea brasiliensis (rubber tree). Lineage: Eukaryota; Viridiplantae; Streptophyta; Magnoliopsida; Malpighiales; Euphorbiaceae. The record is from RNAcentral.
AAAAAAUUAAAAAAACAAAAAAAAUGAAUAAAAACUAAAAGAAAAAUAGGUGGUGGUACACUCAACGGUGAUCACUCAGUAAAUUAAAAAGGAGAAAAAGAUGAGAGAUUGAAGAAAAAAGAUAAAAAAAAAGGAAGGAAAAAUAAAAAAAGGUGAGGAUCCUAUGUAUAAUAUUUCCUUUUGGCAUUUAUCUUAUUGAUUAUAUAUUUAAUGGAUCAUAAGAUGAACACUUGAAAAUGGUAUUUUGUUGUUGUCUUUUAAUGGAAUGGCAUAUUACGUCUUGAAGCGGUGGGAAAGCAAAGUCUGUAUUCUGCGUUACAAAGCCAAUUCCGUUUUAUAUUUUAGGUGUGCGGCUACUUUCUUCUGUCCUCUUGCAGCAAGUACUUGAUUGUCUGACUUAUACAGGAAGAUGAAAAUUAAAAGUGUGUAAUAG